This 274-nucleotide ribosomal RNA is filed under the name uncultured bacterium. RNAcentral describes it as "partial 16S ribosomal RNA". It matches the Rfam family "Bacterial small subunit ribosomal RNA", at positions 135 to 395 of the family's 1533-position model. The record is from RNAcentral.
AAAAAAAAAAACUUCAGUAAACUGGGGCUAAUACCGGAUAGGAGCUCCUGCUGCAUGGUGGUGGUUGGAAAGUUUCGGCGGUUGGGGAUGGACUCGCGGCUUAUCAGCUUGUUGGUGGGGUAGUGGCUUACCAAGGCUUUGCCGGGUAGCCGGACUGAGAGGGUGAACGGCGACAUUGGGACUGAGAUACGGGCCAGACUCCUACGGGAGGCAGCAGUGGGGAAUAUUGUUUUUUUUUUGAUAGCACGGCGACCACCCAGAUCUACACGAGGGG